Molecule: small RNA, 602 nt
Filed under: Pongo abelii (Sumatran orangutan)
Lineage: Eukaryota; Metazoa; Chordata; Mammalia; Primates; Hominidae
Description: processed transcript
Source: RNAcentral
CCGCCUUCCCCCCUUCGUCCGCUCUCAUUGGCUCUCCUGAGUGGCUGAGCUCCCUUCGGGCCCAUGUUGUGCGCACUGGCAUUGGACGAGCCCGGGCAGAACUCUUUGAGGAGCAGAUUAUUCAGCAUGGUGGCCAGCUAUGCCCUGCCCAGGGCCCAGGUGUCACUCACAUUGUGGUGGAUGAAGGCAUGGACUAUGAGCGAGCCCUCCGCCUUCUCAGACUACCCCAGCUGCCCCCAGGUGCUCAGCUGGUGAAGUCAGCCUGGCUGAGCUUGUGCCUUCAGGAGAGGAGACUGGUGGAUGUAGCUGGAUUCAGCAUCUUCAUCCCCAGUAGGUACUUGGACCAGCCACAGCCCAGCAAGGCAGAGCAGGAUGCUUCUAUUCCUCCUGGCACCCAUGAGGCCCUGCUUCAGACAGCCCUUUCUCCUCCUCCUCCUCCCCAAAAGGCAAAAGAGGCACCAAACACCCAAGCCCAGCCCAUCUCUGAUGAUGAAGCCAGUGAUGGGGAAGAAACCCAGGUUAGCGCAGCUGAUCUGGAAGCCCUCAUCAGUGGCCACUACCCCACCUCCCUUGAGGGAGAUUGUGAGCCUAGCCCAGCCCCU